GGAGAGGCCAAGAGUGAGAGUUCUAGCUGACAUCAGCCACCAGACAUCACUGGCCACUCCAGAAAGGACCACUCACAUAUGGUCUACAUUAUCGAUGGGGCUGUGAACGAUGCUGCUUGGAGCCGUGCAACAAGCCACCUGUCAACACCCUGCAGGAGGGGAGCUGCAUGAGGCAUGACAAAGAAGACAAAGUAAGCUCUGGACACCUAGACAAAGACCACAGAAACAACAGAGGUGUUGUGGCAACAUGAGAAGAGCACUGGCCUGAGAGUCAUUCUUGCAGGAUCUUCAGGAUGUUUUAUUAAACAAAAAAGCAAGGUGCAAAACAGUGUGUAUAGGAUCCUAUCUCCCGGGCUGGCCCCGUGGCCGAGUGGUUAAGUUCGCGCGCUCCGCUGCAGACGGCCCAGUGUUUCGUCGGUUCGAAUCCUGGGCGCGGACAUGGCACUGCUCGUCAGACCACGCUGAGGCAGCGUCCCACAUGCCACAACUAGAGGAACCCACAACGAAGAAUACACAACUAUGUACCGGGGGGCUUUGGGGAGAAAAAGGAAAAAAUAAAAUCUUUAAAAAAAAAAAAAAAAAAAGAUCCUAUCUCCAAAUACAGUCACAUUCUGAGAUACUG
RNAcentral lists this long non-coding RNA (622 nucleotides) under Equus caballus (horse). Its description in RNAcentral is "lncRNA (ENSECAG00000039270.3)". The record is from RNAcentral. Lineage: Eukaryota; Metazoa; Chordata; Mammalia; Perissodactyla; Equidae.